This 253-nucleotide ribosomal RNA is filed under the name uncultured bacterium. Its description in RNAcentral is "partial 16S ribosomal RNA". It matches the Rfam family "Bacterial small subunit ribosomal RNA", at positions 524 to 776 of the family's 1533-position model. The record is from RNAcentral.
UACGUAGGUGGCGAGCGUUGUCCGGAUUUACUGGGCGUAAAGGGAGCGUAGGCGGACUUUUAAGUGAGAUGUGAAAUACCCGGGCUCAACCUGGGGGCUGCAUUUCAAACUGGAAGUCUAGAGUGCAGGAGAGGAGAGUGGAAUUCCUAGUGUAGCGGUGAAAUGCGUAGAGAUUAGGAAGAACACCAGUGGCGAAGGCGACUCUCUGGACUGUAACUGACGCUGAGGCUCGAAAGCGUGGGGAGCAAACAGG